AUACAGAGGGUGCGAGCGUUAAUCGGAAUUACUGGGCGUAAAGCGCGCGUAGGUGGUUAUGUAAGUCGGAUGUGAAAGCCCUGGGCUCAACCUGGGAACUGCAUUCGAAACUGCAUAACUAGAGUAUGGUAGAGGGAAGUGGAAUUUCCGGUGUAGCGGUGAAAUGCGUAGAUAUCGGAAGGAACACCAGUGGCGAAGGCGACUUCCUGGGCCAAUACUGACGCUGAGGUGCGAAAGCGUGGGGAGCAAACAGGAUUAGAUACCCCGGUAGUCC
RNAcentral lists this ribosomal RNA (274 nucleotides) under uncultured bacterium. Its description in RNAcentral is "partial 16S ribosomal RNA". It matches the Rfam family "Bacterial small subunit ribosomal RNA", at positions 523 to 796 of the family's 1533-position model. The record is from RNAcentral.